AUUGAACGCUGGCGGCAGGCCUAACACAUGCAAGUCGAGCGGAGCGGCGGACGGGUGAGUAAUGCCUAGGAAUCUGCCUGGUCGUGGGGGAUAACGUCCGGAAACGUGCGCUAAUACCGCAUACUAUCAGAUUAGCCUAGGUCGGCUUAGCUAGUUGGUGGGGUAAAGGCCUACCAAGGCGACGAUCCGUAACUGGUCUGAGAGGAUGAUCAGUCACACUGGAACGGAGACACGGUCCAGACUCCGACGGGAGGCAGCAGUGGGGAAUAGUGGACAAUGGGCGAAAGCCUGAUCCAGCCAUGCCGCGUGUGUGAAGAAGGUCUUCGGAUUGUAAAGCACUUUAAGUUGGGAGGCGUUACCAACAGAAUAAGCACCGGCUAACUUCGUGCCAGCCGCCGCGGUAAUUC
RNAcentral lists this ribosomal RNA (407 nucleotides) under uncultured bacterium. Its description in RNAcentral is "partial 16S ribosomal RNA". It matches the Rfam family "Bacterial small subunit ribosomal RNA", at positions 30 to 526 of the family's 1533-position model. The record is from RNAcentral.